RNAcentral lists this long non-coding RNA (299 nucleotides) under Coffea arabica (coffee). RNAcentral's name for it is "long non-coding RNA (CARA_LNC000710)". Lineage: Eukaryota; Viridiplantae; Streptophyta; Magnoliopsida; Gentianales; Rubiaceae. The record is from RNAcentral.
CAGAGUUUGAAGAUUAUACAAAAUCAAGAACAAAAAAGUGCCGCAAUUGUUUUUUUUUUUUUUGGGCGACACCUAAUGCAAAGUGUAAGGCAUUAGAAUUCACCUGUCCCAAAGAAAAGUGCAAUAAAUGAACUGCAGCCAGGUCCUCCAUCUAACCAAAGGAUAAGAGGAUCCGAUUGAGAAUUUGACUCUGACUUGAUAAAAACGUAGAAGAGCUGCACAUCCUCUGAUUCACCAACUCCAAUAUACCUGAUAACAUCAGAAAAUGGAUCAACUAUUUCUUCUAAGUUUUGAUCAAU